Molecule: ribosomal RNA, 253 nt
Filed under: uncultured bacterium
Lineage: Bacteria
Description: partial 16S ribosomal RNA
Rfam family: Bacterial small subunit ribosomal RNA
Source: RNAcentral
UACGUAGGAAGCAAGCGUUGUCCGGAAUCACUGGGCGUAAAGCGCGUGUAGGCGGUCCGGUAAGUCGGCUGUGAAAGUCCAGGGCUCAACCCUGGGAUGCCGGUCGAUACUGCCGGACUAGAGUUCGGAAGAGGCGAGUGGAAUUCCCGGUGUAGCGGUGAAAUGCGCAGAUAUCGGGAGGAACACCUAUGGCGAAGGCAGCUCGCUGGGACGUUACUGACGCUGAGGAGCGAAAGCGUGGGGAGCGAACAGG